CGUAUGCUGUGGUUGCUGCGGGAUACUUGGGCCUUGCUGUUUUAUGCUUAUGCUGCCUCAGAAUAAACAUUCAGCACGAUCAGUGAAGCCUGACUCCUCUUGGCACUGACUGCUCUGACUGAGAGACAGCAGAAUGAAUGUUGACCCAAAACUUCAGAAAUAAAUAAAUAGGUACAGAGGAUGCCAGGAGAGGCUGCCAGAUGGACAAAUGUUUGCUGGAAUGCAGUUACAGGAGAGAGGGAAGCGUUGUACACGUGCAUCUGUUUAGUGAGGCAUCCUCCAGUUCCACCAUAGGGAACUGCGCUGCAGUGAGUAAAGGAAGCAUUUUGCAGAAAGAGCUUGUGUCUGAAUCUUUAUUUGCAAGUCAGAAGUUGACCACAAGAGACAGCCAUGCUGCAGCAGGAGAUGAACAAUGUAAAAUAUGGGGCCAGUGUUAAUUCCAGAGGAGUUUUCUGUGUGUAUAUGUCAGAUUAAUAAAAAUUGAUAAUAUCUGG
Harpia harpyja (harpy eagle) is the source of this 494-nucleotide long non-coding RNA. RefSeq lists it as uncharacterized. The transcript has 4 exons. Lineage: Eukaryota; Metazoa; Chordata; Aves; Accipitriformes; Accipitridae. The record is from RefSeq and is a predicted model, not a curated record.